RNAcentral lists this unclassified non-coding RNA (4031 nucleotides) under Leguminivora glycinivorella. RNAcentral describes it as "juvenile hormone esterase-like, transcript variant X2". The record is from RNAcentral. Lineage: Eukaryota; Metazoa; Arthropoda; Insecta; Lepidoptera; Tortricidae.
UAUUUUGAAGCGAACCGCUUUGCGUUAUCUGUUCGCUCGAGAAUCUAGAUUAUUAGCGUUAGGAAAAAAGCCUGUGAAUAAGAAAAUCGCUAAUUAUAUAAAAAGCCAUCAGGAAAAUAACGUGUGGAGUAGUUUUAUGGACUCGCUGAACGAAGAUUUGACGAGGAACAUCAACGUGUAUGAAUGGCGAGUGGUGGAGGAGCAUAAGAGUGUUGCCAGGAGAGUGAGAUUGAAUUCUACUUCGAGGGAAAUUCUUGUGCAUUACGAUAUGGGUUUUUGGGGCGGCAGAAUGACAGAGGCACCGGUUGUUCGGGUGGAGCAUGGUGAGCUGCAGGGCAAAGUAGUGGAGACUCCAAAUGGAAAGAGCUUCUACAGCUUCCAGGGGAUCCCUUACGCUAAGCCACCGCUAGGGACGCUGCGGUUCCAGGCCCCUCAACCCCUUGAGCCAUGGGACGGCGUCCGUGACGCCACUUCAGAAGGAAACAUCAGCGCACAAAUCAGAUUCGACUCCGACAUGUAUGAGGGAGAUGAAAACUGUCUCUAUCUCAACGUCUACACGCCCAGCAUAGACGGGGAAUUCCUUCCAGUAAUGGUCUACAUCCACGGAGGAGGUUUACAAUUCGGUUCGGGCAGUGCUAGCUCAAGGGGGGCAGAUUACCUCGUCGAAAAAGAUGUGGUCGUUGUAACUAUCAACUACAGAUGCGGAGCGUUAGGUUUCCUCAGCUUAAACACUCCCGAAAUCCCUGGAAAUGCUGGCUUGAAGGACAUGAUCGCAGCGUUACGUUGGGUUAAGGAGAAUAUUAAUAAUUUCGGCGGUAAUUCCGGGAAUAUAACGCUUUUCGGCGAAAGCGCUGGUGGUGCUUCUGUGUCCGUUCUCACAGCUAGCCCUUUAAGCAAAGAUUUGAUCAGCAAAGCUAUUAUUCAGUCUGGGAAUGGGCUUUCGAGUUGGGCUUGGCAGAAACAACCCUUGGAAAACGCAAAGAAGCUCGCGCAUUUACUAGGCUGUGAAUCAGAUGAGGCUGAUGACAUCUUAGAAUUCUUAAGAGCGACCCCAGCUAAAGAAAUCGUUGAGGCGACUAGAAAACUGUUUCCAUCUGAAAUGAUAUUUGAAACGGGAGUAUUAGGCUUCACUUUUGUCGUUGAAAAAGAAUUCCCCGGUGUAGAAGCAGCCAUAACAGAGUCGUUCACAGAUCUGUUAACUUCUGGUCGCGUCGCAGAAAUCCCUGUAAUGAUUGGGUCGACAACAUUGGAAUUUUUGCGUAAAGUCGACACCGAUGACUUGCAAGUCUUUAUUCCUAACGAAUUAAACGUGCAGAGGAAUUCUGAAGAAGCUUUAGAGAUAUCCAAUAAAUUCAAAAGUCUAUAUUUCAAAGGGAAUCAUACAGCCAUCGAGAAUUUAAAUGGGUAUUUCGAGUUGAUUUCCGAUAAACUUAUUACCGUCGACACGCAUAGAUAUGUCCAGUAUUUAGUGCAUGCGACUACUAAGCCUGUGUACUAUUACAAGUUUGAUUACGUGGGGGAAUUGAAUAAUUCUAAGAAGCUGGUAGAUUCUUUGGAUGUGCACCACGCGGGUCAUGCUGACGAAUUGGGGUAUCUCUUCAAGAGCGAUUCUUUGGAGGCAGUGGAAGCGACGCCUCAGGAUAUUAAGAUGAGAGAGAGAAUGCUGAGACUUUGGACCAACUUCGCCAAGUCUGGCAACCCAACCCCAGACGAGAAUCACUACAUCACGGUAACCUGGCAUCCCGUAACCAAGGACAACCUCUACUAUCUAAACCUGAGCAACGAGUUAUCCCUCAAUACGAACCCGGAUAAGGAGCGUAUGGCCCUGUGGGAUGAGCUCUAUAAUAGGCACUUUAAGAUCUGGGAACAUCCUCAGGUUAAUAAAGAGGAAACGCCUGUUAAAGCGAAAGAGCCAGUUGUUAUCGAACCAGAAAUCGUGCCGGAACCAGUAACCACUUCAGAACCGGUAACUAACUCAGAAUCGGUAACCGCUUCAGAAUCGGUAACCAUACCAGAACCGGUAACCAGCCACGUAGAAGAAACUACCCAAGAACCCACUCCGGAAGAAUCAACAGUAGUUGAACAACCACAAGUAGUUGAAUCACCACCAGUAGUUGAACCACCACCAGUAGUUGAAUCUACACCAGUAGAACAACUAGACACAACCCCUCAACAUAACGGUGUAAACGGAACCAACGGUGACAUAGAACGGAAACCGAGACCAUCUAACGAGAUCAAAAUGGUCCAAAACGGGAACGGGGUACCCAAAGACGUCAUCCGAGCCAACGAUCCGCCUGAAGACGAUUUGCCUAAAAAUAUUGGGGUUAAUAAAUUUGUGAACUUCUUUGAAUCGCUCGGUGGUAAGAAGUGAGAUGCCAUUUUGUAUUAUUACUUGUAGACAACUCUACUGAGAGCGUAUUGGCGCAAUUUCAUUAGUCGAAAGGGGUACGAGAGAUUUCUGGAACGCGUGCCACAGGGCCCGCAUUCGGGGAAACAUUUUCAUUAGUCGAUAGGGUCCGCAUUCGGGGUACGAGAGAUUUCUGGAACGCGUGCCACAGGGCCCGCAUUCGGGGAAACAUUUUCAUUAGUCGAAAGAAGUCCGCAUUCGGGGUGCGAGAUAUUUCUGGAACGCGUGCCACGGGGUCCGCAUUCGGGAUGCGGGAGAUUUCUGGAACGCGUGCCACAGGGCCCGCAUUCGGGGAAAUUAAAUAGUAAUAGUAACUUUCAUCGGUUGUUAUUUCGCCUGAGGGGAGUCCCCGUAUGCUCCAAAACGACCAAUAUCUCGCCUGCUGGGACUCCCCGUAUGCUGUAUACCGAACAAAUUAUCGGCUAAUGAUUGUGGCAGUCAAGCACACAGCGUACGAGGCCAUAGAGCGCCAUCUACCUAGCAGUAAAAUUGUUUACGCUUCUCAGUAGUUGUCUACGGUUUUUAUUAUAGGUUGUGUAUUUAUUGGCUUGGAUAAUUGUAAUUUAAUUUUGUAUAAGAUUGUUUGAGGCAAUCGUUUCUGGUCGAUUUGAAAUAAGUAAACAUUCCAGUAAUUUAUUUCUUUUAAAAUCAUAUUGAAUGUACAGUCAGUAGCAAAAGUGAUAGGUAAUGUAAUAAGUUUAGACAUUAUUACUAGAGAAUAACCUAACCACAACAUUAAAAUUUUGAACUACUAGCUUCUGCUGGUCACUAUAAACUUCCAAACCCCCCCCCCCAUUUCAGGAAAGUGGGGGAUUAGAAAGAGACAAAAAGUAAUAUAAAAAUAUUACCUAUUUCAUUUUUUUUUUCUACUUGUGCUAUUGACUGUGCUUAUAAGAAAUCCUAUUUUUGAACAUUCUGAAACUUUUGGAAACUAGUCUUUUAGUUACGUGGUUGUCUAUUAGAAUUAUUUAUUAAUAAGAAUACGCCAUAUAAAUUUGAAUUAUUAUAAUUAUGACCAUUCAAAAUAAUUAUUUACAUUUGUUAAAACCUGACCAGAAAUAUACUACGCGCCAUUUUGCGGAAUAUCAUUAGAACUAUUUUUUUCAUACUAAACUGAACUGUCACCCUAAUAUCAGAAUAACAGCGCGACGACAACAACGUACAAAGUGCAAUCUGCUAUGUAGCAGAUAGCACCUUGUACGUUGGUGGGUAAGGUGCAAUUAAAAAAAAAUUGCAGAUUGUACCCUAUACGUUGUUGUCGUCGCGCCCUCUGGGCAAUAUUUCUGGCUAGGCUUUAUCAGCUUGGAUUACAUAUACAUAUAACAGAUACACCAUUCUAAGCUGAAAUCUAAACUUAUAUUUCUAUCAUUAUACUUAUAUUAAUUCUUACCAUUUUGUCAAAUCUCAAAUCUAUAUUAUUACCUCUACUAUUCAGAAUCCUAUUUUAUUUUUUAUUUGAGUGGUGUACCUUAAAAUGGUAUUUAAGUAAAAUAACGUUUUUAUCAAUUUUCUUAUUGAAAUAAAUAUUAUUGAAGGUAUAUUAUUGAAGGUAUUCUUCAUCACAUUCCAAAUUAUUAUUUUUAUGUAUGUUGUACAUGUGCUAAUAAUCAGUGUUGACUUUAUA